GUAGGUGGCAAGCGUUGUCCGGAUUUAUUGGGUUUAAAGGGUGCGUAGGCGGUUCCAUAAGUCAGUGGUGAAAUACGGCAGCUCAACUGUCGAGGUGCCAUUGAUACUGCGGAACUUGAGUACUGAUGAGGUAGGCGGAAUUGACGGUGUAGCGGUGAAAUGCUUAGAUAUCGUCAAGAACACCGAUAGCGAAGGCAGCUUACCAAGCAGUAACUGACGCUGAGGCACGAAAGUGCGGGGAUCAAACAGGAUUAGAUACCCUGGUAGUCCGCACAGUAAACGAUGAUUACUCGAUGUUGGCGAUACACAGCCAGCGUCUUAGCGAAAGCGGUAAGUAAUCCACCUGGGGAGUACGCCCGCAAGGGUG
This 367-nucleotide ribosomal RNA is filed under the name uncultured bacterium. RNAcentral describes it as "bacterial SSU rRNA". It matches the Rfam family "Bacterial small subunit ribosomal RNA", at positions 527 to 896 of the family's 1533-position model. The record is from RNAcentral.